UCAUAUCGUACAUACUCACCUCCAUCUUCUCUGCAACUCACGAUUUUACUCUACCCUUCACACCACUAUCAUCUUAUUUCUGUCAUCGCAUUACAGUUAAACCCAUUACUAAAUCUCCAUUCCUUUUUUCAAUUAUUGAGAGGGUAAGUUGAAGAGGAUGCUUCAAAUUAAUGGAACAACUACAAAGAAGAAAAUAAAACACAAACCAACUAAAAAAAAAGUCAUCAAUUUGUGUCCCCAAUAAAUCUAAAUCCAAAUGAAGGGUUAAGGUGGUCAGAGAUGAUUCGCAGUGGCAGGAGGAGGGUGACAAAAAGAAACGGUGGUUGGCAGUGCUUUAGGCACCACAAAGCAUCACCGUUCUAUAAAAUUUUUAGGAUACCACUCACUAAUUAAAGCUACUACUGGGAUUCUAUGGGUCGUGGGUGUGGACUGUGGAGGUAUGCAACGAGGAUGAGUUUUGAAAUAACAGGAGUGCUGGUUAUUCAAAAAGGGAUGAUGGUCCUUCAAAUGCAUAUAUAGAGGAAGAGAGGAGGUAAACUGGGCAUCGUAUUCAAUAUAUAGAAGAUGAUGAACAGUAGCUAGUUCCAUUUUUUUAAUUUUUUUUUCCUUUCUUAUGAUAUGCUCUACAUUCGGCCAUGCAAUAUCUGGCUCUACAGAUUUGGGUCUCAUUUUUUGCGG
This 678-nucleotide long non-coding RNA is filed under the name Panax ginseng (ginseng). RNAcentral describes it as "long non-coding RNA (PGIN_LNC009057)". Lineage: Eukaryota; Viridiplantae; Streptophyta; Magnoliopsida; Apiales; Araliaceae. The record is from RNAcentral.